ACGCACGCUGGCGGCGUGCCUCAUCCAUGCAAGUUGAGCGCUGAAGAUUGGUGCUUGCACCAAUUUGAAGAGCAGCGAACGGGUGAGUAACGCGUGGGGAAUCUGCCUUUGAGCGGGGGACAACAUUUGUAAACGAAUGCUAAUACCGCAUAACAACUUUAAACAUAAGUUUUAAGUUUGAAAGAUGCAAUUGCAUCACUCAAAGAUGAUCCCGCGUUGUAUUAGCUAGUUGGUGAGGUAAAGGCUCACCAAGGCGAUGAUACAUAGCCGACCUGAGAGGGUGAUCGGCCACAUUGGGACUGAGACACGGCCCAAACUCCUACGGGAGGCAGCAGUAGGGAAUCUUCGGCAAUGGACGAAAGUCUGACCGAGCAACGCCGCGUGAGUGAAGAAGGUUUUCGGAUCGUAAAACUCUGUUGGUAGAGAAGAACGUUGGUGAGAGUGGAAAGCUCAUCAAGUGACGGUAACUACCCAGAAAGGGACGGCUAACUACGUG
This 496-nucleotide ribosomal RNA is filed under the name uncultured bacterium. RNAcentral's name for it is "partial 16S ribosomal RNA". It matches the Rfam family "Bacterial small subunit ribosomal RNA", at positions 29 to 507 of the family's 1533-position model. The record is from RNAcentral.